Molecule: long non-coding RNA, 3060 nt
Organism: Aquila chrysaetos chrysaetos
Lineage: Eukaryota; Metazoa; Chordata; Aves; Accipitriformes; Accipitridae
Exons: 2
Source: RefSeq, a predicted model, not a curated record
UUCUUAAAUAUCCCUAGCAUUUCCAUCCAGAAUUUUUAAAGGGAGGAAGCAUGACUUGGAAAUGACUGUAACACGAAUGGAUUUGUUGACUUAACUGACAUUGUUUUGACAUGACAGGGCCUACCGAGGGACCGAGGUCCCUUUGUGCUAACUGCAAAACAAACACAGGACUGAAAACGGAGCUGGUAUCAGAGUUCCCCUGCCUUAUCGCUCUCAGUUAAUGCGUUACUCCACGCUAACUGGCCAGCUAAGAGUAGCAUUCGUUACGGGGAGAGGGAAGACUCAUACAUAGCAGCAGCAUUGUUUCUCUCUACUGUUUUCAUAGCAGGUUUCUGCCCACGGCUCUUUGUAACUCAAAGCCCAUAUUCAAACCAGAGAGUUGUCCAAACCUGAGCCAUUUCAUCUACCAGCAAAGUGGACAUUUGUGUUCAUUUAACACCAGGACAGGGAGAUGUUGGCCCAUGGCUGGGAGCCCUAGACCCAUCAUAGCUUGUGAGCCAUGCUGGCAUCUCCCAGCACCCACGGGUCAACCAAACACCCCAAGAGCCAAAAGGGCACCCCUGCCAGAACAGAUGCGUAGCACUGGGCUCAUUAAAACAAACGCAUGCUUAUCCUGUUUGAUUGUGUGAAUUAAUUAACCCCUCUGAACAGUCAGAAUGUAACUUUGUAGCCCUGGUUAUGUGUAUAUAAGCCCAUCUGGUUUAGAGCAGCAGUAUCUAACUGACUGCAUGAAAUUUUUUUGAACACCGCUAUGAAGAGAAAAUAGGCCUCUGGGCCAGGAGUCAGCAGUUGUCAAGAUCUGACGUGCUUCUACUGAGACCAUCAGGAGGGAUCCAGUGUCACCACCUCUCUGCUGCUUUGGUACCAACAUGACAGCUCUGACCAAGAACGGUCUCCGUGGCCCUUCUCUCUUGCAGCCACCCCCGAGCCACUCUCCUGCAACCCACUGCACAGCACAAGGAACAAAAAGAGGAGCUUCUGCAUCACUUAAACACAAUCUUAGAUAUUUUGCAACCAAUUUAUUUGACCCAGCAAAGAGCUUCCAGGAGAAGACAUGAGCGUGUGAUACAGCGACACGGAUGUCUGCUGUCAGUUAGUCUGAAAUGCGGUACAAAGCGUGCACUUCUCUAUCCAAGCCCUUUGGCAAAAGCGCGUGUAGCUCGUUUCUUGAUUUCAGAAAAUAUGUGCAAACGCAACCAGCCUCACCGUGCAGUUGGAGAUGUUUGGAGUACCCCGCAAGCGUGGGUACAGCAGUGUCUGGUCCUCGUGCCACAGCCAUGAGCCUCCAGCCCCGGGCGGCGUAUGAAUAGCAUGACAAUCAGAAAAAUUCACACAGAAGAUUUUGCAAGCACGUUUGCUCAUUGAAACUUUGUCCUAGAGUCUCCUGCAGCUGCGAGAAAGGAGGCUCCUUGUCGUUUAUAGCUGAGGUCAGUGGGCGGCCAAAGCAAGGAAGUUUGUAUUGCAGCAAUUUGUACCUUAUCUAGUUUAUAGAUGUAAACAGAAGGUUUACGCUUCCGUUGCUGAACUCUCCUACACCAAAAAUGUUCAGUGCAUAGAGGAGGAGAGGGAUAGGCAAUGUGCGUGCACACUUAUUUCUUGAAUAUAUUUUGAGAAGUACAGUUAAAGAGCCCAGUGUUUCUGAAGCGUUUGGAAAUUAGGACUCCCUUGCAGCGAUUAAAAACCCAAUCUCUCUGCAGACUGCAGGGGUCAUUCCAGGAUCUCCAUAGGGUCUGGAUGCGACUUGUAAGUCUCAUGGACUUGGGUCAACACCAUUGAAGCCAAGAGUCCUUUCAUGAGCUUUAGGUCGCUCCCAAUUGCUUCUGAAGUCAUUGCCCAGGCUUUUCUCAUUUUAGUCACAGUACCAGAGUUUUGUAUCAUUUGAAAAGCUCCAAGGCAAGGGACAUAUGGAGCCUACAAAAGCAUAGUUAUUGUGCUAGCUAGCUCCAGUCCCAUGCCAAGCAAAUUAUUCAUGCACACUCUGUGGAUAGGAGGCACAAGCUUUCAUGUGGUUAUAUGGAUAAAGGGAGGAAAAUUUAGGCCACUGACUCAGCCUGUCAGCAAUGUUUCCCCCUAAAUACAGCCAUGGAGCUGCAAAGCAGAUUUCUCACAGCACUGAUGGUGGGGCAGUACUCUCUUUGGAAAACGUGACCCCUUAUUUACAUGCCACUUGGAAAGCAGUAUCAUAUAAGGGAGCCAAACUCUUCCAAAAGUCUGGCCUUUUGAUUAUAACCUUUCAUGAAAGUUAGCAAUUGAACAAAAGCAGCUUAGAGAUAGCAUUUCAAAUGAGAAUCAGACGGCUUGCCUGGAACAGGAGCAAUAGCAAUCUGCCCAGCCUGUUAGAGACACGGCCAUGCUAUCCAGUGCUGCGCUCCUGCAUCCAAAAGGAAACCUGACAUUCAACAGGUGUUCUGCUUUUUGGGUAGUCUCAUGGAGGGAGAAAGAAUUUGAGGAGACACACUACAAAAAGGUUCUUUAAAGGCACCUACUUUUCCAUUUCAGCUCCAUGACCAAACGGCUUUUUUUUUUUUUUUGGUCUCAGCGGAUUUUAUUCAAUUACCACUGCAGUGGCCACUGCAGAGUGCGGGGUACAUUCCUGCUUCAGUCGUCUUUGUGUCCACUUGGCAGCAAUCCUGAACGCCCAGAAAAGCAGACAGUUGCUAUUUUCCUCCAUUUAUACUUUUCCCUUGGAAAUAUUUCUUGUUUGGCCUUGCCACCCUGCAAAAAAAAAAUUCCUAUGAUCCUUUCAUAAAGGAAUUAAAUUUACUCUAUUAUUUUAGUUAGUGGAAAUAGAAAAGCCAAUCAGCUGACUGUAAUUGUACAAUAAAGCCAAGAGUAGUUCAUUUCAAUCCUUGUUCCAUAAUACUUAUAUAAUUCAGACCUGGAGACAAAAGCACUAAGGUCAUGGAUUAACAGUGGCUUAAAGUUGAAAAUAGCCUGAGGAAGUAAGGAUGACAAAGUAAUUACUAGUGGGCAAAUCAUAUGUUAAUGGGUAGGGGAAUUAUUUAGUGUAUGACAUUUAAUCAAUGUAAAUGGAAGAAAUAUAAAAGCAAAUCCAACUUU